UAAGGAAUAUUGGUCAAUGGACGCAAGUCUGAACCAGCCAUGCCGCGUGGAGGAUUAAGGCCCUCUGGGUUGUAAACUCCUUUUAUCUGGGAAGAAAUGCUUUGAUUCUUCAAAGCUUGACGGUACCAGAGGAAUAAGCACCGGCUAACUCCGUGCCAGCAGCCGCGGUAAUACGGAGGGUGCAAGCGUUAUCCGGAUUCACUGGGUUUAAAGGGUGCGUAGGCGGACAGGUAAGUCAGUGGUGAAAUCUCCGAGCUUAACUCGGAAACUGCCGUUGAUACUAUUUGUCUUGAAUAUUGUGGAGGUAAGCGGAAUAUGUCAUGUAGCGGUGAAAUGCUUAGAUAUGACAUAGAACACCAAUUGCGAAGGCAGCUUACUACGCAGUUAUUGACGCUGAGGCACGAAAGCGUGGGGAUCAAACA
RNAcentral lists this ribosomal RNA (422 nucleotides) under uncultured bacterium. RNAcentral describes it as "bacterial SSU rRNA". It matches the Rfam family "Bacterial small subunit ribosomal RNA", at positions 355 to 774 of the family's 1533-position model. The record is from RNAcentral.